Long non-coding RNA from Lineus longissimus, 270 nucleotides. RefSeq lists it as uncharacterized. Lineage: Eukaryota; Metazoa; Nemertea; Pilidiophora; Heteronemertea; Lineidae. The record is from RefSeq and is a predicted model, not a curated record. The transcript is spliced from 3 exons.
UCGUUCUACUACAAGGACGACUGCGAGUUGUAUUCUAACACAGCUGAUAUAAAUUGUGGCGGCUUCGAGGAGGCGACCAUCUCGAAAAGGGCCGGUUACUUUCAAGUAAGAAGGAAAUGUAAAGGUUCUAGCUGCCUCUGCACAAAACGAUUCAAAGGGAAAGACUGCACUUUUGACACGGCUUAUACCACGUCUUACCUGCCCAUGGACGAAAUACAGAACAACACGGUGAUCGGCACUGGUCUCAUCCCGACAGUGACUGGUGGGGAU